RNAcentral lists this non-coding RNA (839 nucleotides) under Trichomonas vaginalis G3. RNAcentral describes it as "Eukaryotic large subunit ribosomal RNA". It matches the Rfam family "Eukaryotic large subunit ribosomal RNA", at positions 2406 to 3401 of the family's 3401-position model. The record is from Rfam by way of RNAcentral. Lineage: Eukaryota; Parabasalia; Trichomonadida; Trichomonadidae.
GAAGACCCUGUAGAGCUUCACUUUGGUCUAGUCUUGUAUAGUUCCUGCGGGGGUGUAGACUAGGUGGGAGAGCAAUCGAUUCUGAAAAACCACUACCCUGUUUGGAAUUAUGCUUACCUAUCACAAGGAAUAGGACUAGAUAGAAAGUUUGGCUGGGGCGGCACACCUUCGAAAGAGCAGCGAAGGUGUCCUAAGUUGAGCUCAGUGAGGACAGAAAUCUCACGUUGAGGAUAAGGCCAAAAGCUCAAUUUACUGUGCCUUUUUGUACUAGGAUCAGUUACGAAAGUAAGGCCUAACGAUCCCUAAAUAGCCUCAGGUGCGUGAGGAUUGGGGUGACAGACAAGUUACCUCCGGGACAACUGGCUUGUGGCUGCUAAGAGAUCAAAUCAACGCAGCUUUUUGAUUCUUCGAUGUCGGCUCUUCCUAUCCUAGUGAUGUACAAGUUGCUAAGGGUCGGAUUGUUCACCCGUAUUAGGGAUCGUGAGCUGGGUUUAGACCGUCGUGAGCCAGGUUUGUUUUAUCCUACUGGAUAUAGCAUCAUGAUAGUAGAUUGAUUUAGUACGAGAGGAACUGUUGAUUAUGGCCUCUGGUUAGCGAUUAUCGGAAACGGUAUGUCGCGCAGCUACGCCGUCUGGGAUAAUGGCUGAAAGCCUCUUAAGCCAGAAGCCCAUCUAGAAAGUGAUGCACGUGAUGUUGGACCGAUACGAAUAAUCAUACUCAAAAGGUCCGCUUCAUAGGUAACCCAAUGUAGAAGACAUUGUGUGAACGAAGGUACUGUAAGCAGUGGAGUGGCAUUACGUCCACGACCUGUUGAGGUUCAGCUUCGCUUCUAGGUUUCC